CAGAAAUCAGCAUUGAAAAACUGCGCCAGUUGUCUUCCUCAUCAUUUCCUUGUGUUUUACAGCGUGUGAGAAGACAUCAAAGCACACAAAGAAAGAAGAAAGAAGCAGAUAAAACACCAGAAGAGGCAUCCAGUGCACCCCGGAAUUAUGUAACCAUGCCAUUAGAGGAGCGGAUCCAAGAUAAUAAAUGAUCCGGUCUCCUCCAUUUGUCCUCUCUGUCUCGGUUAAGGUAAAUGGUUCUUCACCACACUUCUUGUCUGCACACCUUAAUAGCAAAGUGAAUACAAUCAUUCUCUUUGCUAAACAUCAAGAUACCAAAGGACACAUUCAUAAAUAUGUUUCAUACACUAAAAAAGAUUUAGGUUUACCUUUCACUUAAUAUUGUACUAAUUUCUCUUUACAAACUGAACAGCCUUAGUUUAUAAAGAGAAACUUUUGACGCAGAGCCAGAAAUACCAGCAAUAUUACAGAAGACACAGCAGUUUAUAGUAUCAAAAGUUGUCCUGAUAUACAGUAGCAUCAGCAGAAGACAAAUGUCUCUAAUUGUUGAUAUGGACCAACCAGAGAUCUAUGUACAAGACAUACAUACAGCAUGAUUAACCAUUGAUUAAAAGCUGCAGUAUAUCAAUCUUAUUGACAUACUGCACUAAAAUAUGUAGUGUUUUAACAUAUUUGUUGAAACACUACGUUGUGGCAGUAGUAGAUGGAUAGUCUGUGAAAAAAAUUGAGCUCCUUUGCCAUCUUAAUUAUCCUGCUGAAAUUUGCAGAAAUACAUCAUCCCAUCAGAAAGAACCAAUUUGAGCCAGGAGGACGGUUUUAGUGUUGUGCUGUCAAUCACUCAUGUACAUGCUGCUCAAACAAUCUACCUAUCUCUCUGCUACACUGUUGCUGGUUCACCAUAACAUAGCCUGCCAUGAAUAAAUAAGGCUAGUUAGUUGUUUCUCUGCCAUUACCACAAUGAGCAGAGUGUACAUUAGGUUGAUUGACAGCACUAAGACCCUCCUCCUGGCUCCUGAUUGGUUGUCUUCCGGAGAGUGGCGCAUUUCUUCAGACACCAAUAAUAUCACUGGAAGGAGAUAGAGGAGCUUGUACAUUAUCUGCCUCAUACGAUUUUGUCACAAUAUGGUGACAAUUUAAAUAAAUAUAGCAUGUUUUUGUAAAAGUUACACAUUGUAGAUUUAAUAGAACUCAGUGGAACAUUUCAUGCCUCUUCUUGGCACUAGUGGUGUUUAUUCAUUAGUGGCUCGACAGGAAGAAGGGCAGAGAAAGGGGAGGACAUGCAGUAAAUGGCUUGGGGUCAGGACGCUAACCUAGGACAGCUGGAUCAAGGACUGUGUAUGGUACGCUUGCAGCACCACAUGGUUCCCUGUCUGAGCCGUAAUUUUAAGAAAAAUCUUUCCAAUUUUACUAUUUGCUGCAAUACACUAAAACUAUUUACCAUGUUGUUUUUUGAAAUCUUAUGAAGAGCUGCACUUGUAUUAGACUGUGGUUUGAAAAUGGAAUAUUGAAAGAUGAAAGCCAAGCUACUGAAAAGAAGUAAGCAUGCAAACAUUUCAAAGCAACACCAUUAGCUGUUUGACUGUAAAAGAGCUGGCAGCUUUCAGACCAGUUUCCAGGAAGAACAUUGAUUGUUAUAGUUAUAGAUUUUUGCUACUAAUUAAACUCUCAAUUCCAUCAACUAUCCAAAGUAACUGAUUUCUAUGGUUUCAAUCCAUGCUUUAGUAAAUGAUGAAUAAUAUUAAUAUAUAUGUGAUUUUUUUGCAGAAAUAAUUAGCUGGAACCACAACUACUAAUUCAUUUUUCAAAGUGGCUCUCUGUUGAGGCUAUUAUCUCAUCAGAGUCUUCAACCUUUUUUAAUAAUCCGGUAUUUCAAAUGUUUCUUUCAGCAGUUUGUGUCAAUUAUCGACAUUAGAAAAAACAGAAAAUUUUAUAUUAUAGAACAUUUCAAAGCUGCCUUCACAUUAUUGUUUCUAAACAUAAAGUCUCCUUAUGUGGAACUAAACAUGAAUUUAUACAGUUCAUAAUAUCAUAUCUGAAGUGAGUCUGAGUGUGUCUGUUUUUUUAUUAAGUAUAGUUUUAAAACAAUAAUCUGUUUGCAGCAUAGAUGGUGUCUCAGCAAAACGUGUUUAGAUUGGUAAUCAGUUCAUACUACCCAAUGACAUCCAAAUUCAGUUUUAAAAAUCCAAACAUCUUUGACUGCUACAAAGGUCAGGCAAGUCUGUUUUCUCUCACACCCUUGCAAACUUCCAUCUUUACCUACACCCACACUAACACGUUUCUGUACCAAAUCUUCAUGCUGACUGUCCUCCUAACUACUGCAGCCUGAUGCAAACCUUUCCCAACUGGGAAUCAUCAAAGGACUCGGGCAAAACAACGUGCAGCAUGUCCCAGGGUAGUGGGUGUUUUCUACAGCCUUUGUUUAGAAUUUAUUUAUGUUUUAUAGCUGCACUGCAUUUGUGCGAUAUAUGUGCAAAGUUGCAAAACUUAUGCCACUUCAAAAAUAAUAAAUAAAUAAAAUAGUGGCAUACCAACUCAGCUGAAGAUUAGUUUGUGUUUGCUACUGUAUCAGAUGCAUAGAAAGAAAAGUUCUCCACUUAAAGGCAUGCAAUGAUGUAGAAAUGCUAGUUCAACUAUGCUACUCAACUUUGAUAGUGGCAUAAUGGCUCUCUUAGCUUGUGUUUAAAAGCUCAAAUACAAACAGGUGCACCCAAAAAACCCUGUAAACGAAUCCUCUUUAGAUUUACUCUUCUGCACUAUUGCUUUGCCCCAUCUGUCACAGUAACCAUAAAAGGUUUCCUUUUUUUCAUAAAUCACUGGACCACUUUGCCUAAUCUUUGCAGGUCAUUAGACUGCAGUGGAAAACACAAACAACCAUCACCUGAAGAAGCAUUUUCAUUCCAGACUAAAGUGCCAGCUAUUUUGGUUCAGGUCCAGCUUUGAUUUCUUCCAUUCCACUUUAAGACAUUUAGACCUGUGUGACCUCUUGCCGCCGCUGUGAUUGCAAAAUGUUCUGAACUAAUCCCAGGCACUUCAGGUGUUCUUGGGUUUUGCCUCAUUCUGCUUGUGACCUUUAAUUAUUAUCAUUUCUGCCCUUUUUGUUGUUCCUACCCAGUCAUAUCAUUUUUUUUAUUUCUUCAACAGAUGACCCUCUCUUCUGCCCAAUUGCCUGUUUUGAAAAUCCUUCUACCCUGCAUUUAUCACCAGAAUUUCUCAAAAUAUCAUUUUCUUUGUUGUUUAUUUCAACACUCAGCCAGUUGACAUUUACCAACUGAGUCAGUGAAAGAUGCAAAGAAAUAUUGAGAUGGCGGAUGUUUGAGCAGAACCAAAGUGCAGACAAAACAUCCGGAACAAUAUGGUGACAUUAAUAUUAAGUGAUGAUAAAACUUGCAGCUGCACAUGAGGUGAGCAAGACAGGAAACCAUGUGAGGAUGCAGUCAAACAAACCUGCUAGAAAAAUUGAAAACCAGGCACAGGUUGAUAUGGAUACUCCUAGUAAAUUCAUGUAACUACUCUUUUCACAUAUUAAAAAAUAUACCAGUUAAAGCAAUUAAAUCAUUUUGAAAAGCAUCUUUAAUGCUUUUAAAAAGGAUGUGUUAUGUUCACAUACAGCACUGUAGGUGCAGAUCAUUUCAUACCAAAAAACUUACAAAAAAAUGUCUUGAUCAACUAUUCUACAAGCAUUUUUUCCUGUUUCCUCUUUGCUUUAUAUAUUGUAAAUUUUUGUAGGCUUUCUUGUCAUCCUAUUUUUCUGCUUUAAUUGACACUUGGUAAACUGUUUUUUUCCCGGUCCUUUCCAAAACAGCCCCAUGAGUUCCCUAUUAAGUACCACAUAGAUCCCAUCAAGAUUUAGGUACACCCAGGAGAUGGUGCUUAAUUACUGAAAUGGUAAACACACAAUGAUGUAAAUUUGCUAUCCUAAAAGGCUAGCGCUUUACACCGGGCCAUGUACCUCAUACUAGAACCCAUUUAAAUCUUAAGAUAUUUAAUUUAUGUACUCCCAAUGCAAAGAUUAGUUUCAUGUUUCUUUUUUUAAGCUAUGUAAUAUUGUCAAAAAGCAUUCAUGUGAUACUUAUUAAAUUUACACCAGGCAGGAAACUUAUUUAUUUUCAAACACUAUGAUGUUAUUGCACGUUGUCAUAUAUUUCAUGUAAGUUUAAAUUAAAAAACAAAACAAAAAAAUACAUGCUACAUUUGCUUGUUCUUAGUUAAGCCUAUUGUGUAUCUAAAAUGCUGUGUCAGUGUUUGGACAUUGGAAAACACCCCAUCACUUAAAUUAAAAUACUGAACUGGGAAGUACAACAUGGAGUGGUGGCAAUUGAGACAAGAGAUGGGGAAGAAAGAAUGAUGUUUGAGAGAGAAAUGAAAAAAGGAGUGGAAGACAAUGAGAGAACCAAGAGAAUAAAGGGAGGCGGCAGCAAUGAAAUAGUGGAUUAACAAGAACAGAGGUGGGCAAAAAGGUGUAAGAACAAGAAAAGCUUAGAGAAACAUUACAAGAUAGAAAGGGGAAAAUUAAGUUUCCACAAGCCAGUUAGACCUUUUCAUUACAGCCUUUUGUUGAAGUCUAGUGGAUGAAACUUCCCAAUGAGAUCAAUGAAUUCUUGCAUAAUUACUGCAUCAGUAAUCUGCCGAAGAAAGGCUGUUUCCUCUUUAAAACCCCCUCAAUAAAUGUUCAUUGCAUCACUCUUAUCAGGACAUUGUUUAGCAGAGGCGAUCAAAUAUGUUCUAUCACUUCUGACCGUCUUUGUGAAAAGAAAUUAAAAAGUGAUCCCUGAUGUCCAUUACUUACUGUCUGCUCACAUAAUAAACAUGUGACCUUUACUGUAAGCAAUAUAGUAGCGCCCACCUGUGCCCUUUUCCACUGAAAGGUUUCUACGUCAGAGGUGAACUCUUUUUGUUCUGAGGAAAGCUAUUCCAACAACAAUAAAUAAUUCUAAAGGGAUUGUUUACUUGGUAGAGCUUCUAAGGUUAAAUGCAUAAUUAGUAUAUUAAAGGGUAUCUUUUUGGAGCUUGUGUUUUCUCAAUAUCUGUAAUUUUACAUUUACACUGGCAAUAAGUGAAUCUGGAUUUGGAUGUGUUGAAUCCAUCCAACCUACCCUUUCUUAAGGAAUUUUUUUGGCACUACUGGCCUUUAUUUGAAAGUGAAAUGACAGGAAAGUAGGUUGUGAGAGAGGAGGAAGACAUGCAACAAAGGUCAAUGGGCCGGUACUCGAAAACGUGACAGCCGCGUUGAGGACUGAGGCCUCUUUACAUGGGUUGCGUGCCUUACUUCUGAGCUACUGCCACACCCAUCCAUCCUUCCCUUCCUUUGCAAUUUUAGGUCAAGGAAGCCAUUGGGCCUAGGAGGGACACCUGGGCAUUCUAUUCCCUGUGAUACUAUCCGGCCUGUCACCAAGUGAAGAUCCCGUGACCAGAGGCAUACCCUUCAGGUGUCACACCCUGUGCCUCUGGUCGCAGGAUGUGACAUCUGGUCACACCUAAAGGGAGGUGACCAGAGGCAUUGUGACUAGAGCCUGAUUGAAGAAGCAGAUUUUUGAUGAUACUUUUCAAU
Xiphophorus couchianus (Monterrey platyfish) is the source of this 5548-nucleotide long non-coding RNA. RefSeq lists it as uncharacterized. The transcript has 3 exons. NCBI's taxonomy places the organism in Eukaryota, Metazoa, Chordata, Actinopteri, Cyprinodontiformes, Poeciliidae. The record is from RefSeq and is a predicted model, not a curated record.